CCUUCGGUGGCUCAGUGGUUUCAGAGCAAAGAGAAAAGAUAAGCAUUCUUCGUCGCUGGUUCGACUCCAGCCCGAAGGU
This 79-nucleotide transfer RNA is filed under the name Stereum hirsutum FP-91666 SS1. RNAcentral's name for it is "tRNA-Ala (AGC) (tRNA-Ala-AGC-8-1)". It matches the Rfam family "tRNA". From Rfam's summary of the family: Transfer RNA (tRNA) molecules are approximately 80 nucleotides in length. Their secondary structure includes four short double-helical elements and three loops (D, anti-codon, and T loops). The record is from RNAcentral. Lineage: Eukaryota; Fungi; Basidiomycota; Agaricomycetes; Russulales; Stereaceae.